CAACCCGUCUCUGUUGCAAAAGAGUGGGAAGAUUCCCAAGUAGAGGUGACAAGCCUAUCGAACUUAGAGAUAGCUGGUUGUUCAGGAAAAGAGUCCAAGCUCUACCUUAAGUUUUUUGAUUUAUCUAAACAAACCCCUAGACUUAAGAGCUAUUCAAGUAAGGCACAGCUUACUUGAAACAGGAUACAACCUCCUACAUUGGGUAAACAAGAACAAUUUAAACAAAGUGGGCCUAAAAGCAGCCAUCUUACAAAAAGCGUUAAAGCUUAACUUACACACACUCAUAAUUCCGAUAGUUCUUAUUAACCCCUCAUUGUUACUGAACUAUUUUAUAAUCUUAUAAAAAUUAUUAUGCUAGAACUAGUAACAUGAAAUUACCUUUCUCCUUAAUGUAAGCUUCAACCAUAAUGGAUUAUCCACUGGUAUUUAACGUAACUGUCUUCAUUAUAGCAACAUACUACUAGAAAACCCUAUAACCACUAACGUUAACCUCACACUAGAACAUUACAGGAAAGAUUAAAAGAAGGAGAAGGAACUCGGCAAAUCCCAGCCCCGCCUGUUUACCAAAAACAUCGCCUCUUGAUUAACAUAAGAGGUCCAGCCUGCCCAGUGACAUAGUUUAACGGCCGCGGUACCCUAACCGUGCGAAGGUAGCAUAAUCACUUGUUCUCUAAAUAGGGACUAGUAUCAACGGCAUCACGAGGGCUACACUGUCUCCUCUCUCCAAUCAGUGAAACUGAUCUCCCCGUGAAGAAGCGGGGAUUUAAAUAUAAGACGAGAAGACCCCAUGGAGCUUUAAACUUAAUACACACCUCUACUUACCUACACCAACUAACCCUAAAAGUCUGUGUAUUAGUUUUAGGUUGGGGGGACCGCGGAGUAUAACUCAACCUCCACGACAAACGGGCCAACGCCCUUAUCCAUGAAACACAAUUCUAAGAAUCAAUAAUCUGAUGUUUUAUGACCCGACAAGUCGAUCAACGAACCAAGUUACCCUGGGGAUAACAGCGCAAUCUA
RNAcentral lists this ribosomal RNA (1017 nucleotides) under Glandirana rugosa (Japanese wrinkled frog). Its description in RNAcentral is "Rugosa rugosa (Japanese wrinkled frog) partial 16S ribosomal RNA". It matches the Rfam family "Bacterial large subunit ribosomal RNA", at positions 776 to 2489 of the family's 2925-position model. The record is from RNAcentral. Lineage: Eukaryota; Metazoa; Chordata; Amphibia; Anura; Ranidae.